Molecule: ribosomal RNA, 497 nt
Filed under: uncultured bacterium
Lineage: Bacteria
Description: partial 16S ribosomal RNA
Rfam family: Bacterial small subunit ribosomal RNA
Source: RNAcentral
GAUGAACGCUGGCGGCGUGCCUAAUACAUGCAAGUCGAGCGAACAGACGAGAACCUUGCUCCUCGGACGUUAUCGGCAGACGUGUGAGUAACGCGGGUAUACCCUCCCUAUAAGACGGGGAACACUUGGAAAAACCGGAUCUAAUCCCGUGUAAUAUAUUAAACCACGUUGUUCAAUAGUGAGAGGCGGUUUUUCUGUCACUUAUAGAUGCUUCCGCGCCUCAUUAGCUAGUUGGUAAGGUAACGGAUUACCAAGGCAACGAUUCGUAGCCGACCUGUGAGGGUGAUCGCCCACACUGGAACUGAGACACGGUCCAGACUCCUAAGGGAGGCAGCAGUAGGGAAUCUUCGGCAAUGGGCGAAAGCCUGCCGGAGCACCCCGGAGUGAGUGAUAAAGGUCUCGGGAUCGUAAAACCCUGUUAUUAGGGAAGAACAAAUGUGUAAGUAAAUAUGCACGUUUUGACGGUAACUAAUCAGAAAGCAACGGCUAACUACGUG